Molecule: non-coding RNA, 23 nt
Filed under: Arabidopsis thaliana (thale cress)
Lineage: Eukaryota; Viridiplantae; Streptophyta; Magnoliopsida; Brassicales; Brassicaceae
Source: RNAcentral
GGGGUUGACUUACAUUGGGCAGU